GACGUAGGGCGCGAGCGUUGUCCGGAUUUAUUGGGCGUAAAGAGCUCGUAGGCGGCUUGUCGCGUCGUCCGUGAAAACCUGCAGCUCAACUGCAGGCUUGCGGUCGAUACGGGCAGGCUGGAGUUCGGUAGGGGAGACUGGAAUCCCUGGUGUAGCGGUGAAAUGCGCAGAUAUCAGGAAGAACACCUAUGGCGAAGGCAGCUCUCUGGGACGGUACUGACGCUGAGGUGCGAAAGCGUGGGGAGCAAACAGG
This 253-nucleotide ribosomal RNA is filed under the name uncultured bacterium. Its description in RNAcentral is "partial 16S ribosomal RNA". It matches the Rfam family "Bacterial small subunit ribosomal RNA", at positions 524 to 776 of the family's 1533-position model. The record is from RNAcentral.